Molecule: small nuclear RNA, 107 nt
Organism: Pipistrellus kuhlii (Kuhl's pipistrelle)
Lineage: Eukaryota; Metazoa; Chordata; Mammalia; Chiroptera; Vespertilionidae
Source: RefSeq, a predicted model, not a curated record
GUGCUCACUUUGGCAGCACAUAUACUAAAAUUGGAAUGAUACAAAGAGGAGUAUCAUGGCCCCUCUGCAAGGAUGACAUGCAAAUUAGUGAAGAAGUCCCAUAUGUA